Burkholderiales bacterium 66-5 is the source of this 82-nucleotide non-coding RNA. The record is from Rfam. NCBI's taxonomy places the organism in Bacteria, Pseudomonadati, Pseudomonadota, Betaproteobacteria, Burkholderiales.
UCGCAUCCGCCAUCCGGUACAGCCGUGUCGCGGAAGGUUUUCCAACCAACUCACGUUUCCUUCAGGGAGACAAAGGUCAGCG